AUGGAGAGUUUGAUCCUGGCUCAGGACGAACGCUGGCGGCGUGCCUUACACAUGCAAGUCGAGCGAUCGGCCCGGUCCUCCGGGACCGGGUACGGAGCGGCGAACGGGUGAGUAACACGUGAGCAACCUACCUCUGGCACCGGGAUAACCCCGGGAAACUGGGGCUAAUACCGGAUAACCAUCGGCCGGGGCAUCUCGGCCGAUGCAAAUGGUUCCGAUCUCUGAUCGGUUCUGGCCAGGGAUGGGCUCGCGGCCCAUCAGUCUGAUGGUGGGGUAACGGCCCACCAAGGCGACGACGGGUAGCCGGCCUGAGAGGGUGAUCGGCCACACUGGGACUGAGAUACGGCCCAGACUCCUACGGGAGGCAGCAGUGGGGAAUAUUGCACAAUGGGCGAAAGCCUGAUGCAGCAACGCCGCGUGAGGGAUGACAGCCUUCGGGUUGUAAACCUCUUUCGGCGCCGACGAAGCCCUGAUUCGUCAGGACAGGGUGACUGUAGGCGCAGAAGAAGCACCGGCCAACUACGUGCCAGCAGCCGCGGUAAUACGUAGGGUGCAAGCGUUGUCCGGAAUUACUGGGCGUAAAGAGCUCGUAGGCGGUCUGUCGCGUCGGCUGUGAAAUGUCGGGGCUCAACCCCGGAACUGCAGCCGAUACGGGCAGACUAGAGGACGGCAGGGGCAAGUGGAAUUCCUGGUGUAGCGGUGAAAUGCGCAGAUAUCAGGAGGAACUCCGCUGGCGAAGGCAGCUUGCUGGGCCGAUCCUGACGCUGAGGAGCGAAAGCGUGGGGAGCGAACAGGAUUAGAUACCCUGGUAGUCCACGCCGUAAACGUUGGGCGCUAGGUGUGGGGAAUGACCAUAUUCUCCGCGCCGUAGCUAACGCGUUAAGCGCCCCGCCUGGGGAGUACGGCCGCAAGGCUAAAACUCAAAGGAAUUGACGGGGGCUCGCACAAGCGGCGGGGCAUGCGGAUUAAUUCGAUGCAACGCGAAGAACCUUACCUGGGUUUGACAUGCCGGGAAAUCUUCCAGAGAUGGGAGGUGCCUUAGGGCGCCCGGCACAGGUGGUGCAUGGCUGUCGUCAGCUCGUGUCGUGAGAUGUUGGGUUAAGUCCCGUAACGAGCGCAACCCUUGUCCCAUGUUGCCAGCGGUUCGGCCGGGGACUCAUGGGAGACCGCCGGGGCCAACUCGGAGGAAGGCGGGGAUGACGUCAAGUCAUCAUGCCCCUGAUGCCCAGGGCUUCACGCAUGCCACAAUGGCCGGUACAAAGGGCAGCGAUACCGCAAGGUGGAGCGAAUCCCAGAAAACCGGUCUCAGUUCGGAUCGGGGUCUGCAACUCGACCCCGUGAAGUCGGAGUCGCUAGUAAUCGCAGAUCAGCAACGCUGCGGUGAAUACGUUCCCGGGCCUUGUACACACCGCCCGUCACGUACUGGGAGUCGGCAACGCCCGAAGCCGGUGGCCCAACCCCGUUCUACGGGGAGGGAGCCGUCGAAGGCGGGGCUGGCGACUAGUACGAAGUCGUAACAAGGUAGCCGUACCGGAAGGUGCGGCUGGAUCACCUCCUUUCUAA
This 1563-nucleotide ribosomal RNA is filed under the name Phytoactinopolyspora halophila. Its description in RNAcentral is "bacterial SSU rRNA". It matches the Rfam family "Bacterial small subunit ribosomal RNA". Lineage: Bacteria; Bacillati; Actinomycetota; Actinomycetes; Jiangellales; Jiangellaceae. The record is from RNAcentral.